UACCAGACUCCUACGGGAGGCAGCAGUGAGGAAUAUUGGUCAAUGGGCUUACGCCUGAACCAGCCAAGUCGCGUGAGGGAAGACUGCCCUAUGGGUUGUAAACCUCUUUUGUCAGGGAGCAACGCCGGCUACGUGUAGCCGGACUGAGAGUACCUGAAGAAAAAGCAUCGGCUAACUCCGUGCCAGCAGCCGCGGUAAUACGGAGGAUGCGAGCGUUAUCCGGAUUUAUUGGGUUUAAAGGGUGCGUAGGCGGAAUGCCAAGUCAGCGGUAAAAUCGCGGGGCUCAACCUCGCUCCGCCGUUGAAACUGGCGUCCUUGAGUGGGCGAGAAGUAUGCGGAAUGCGUGGUGUAGCGGUGAAAUGCAUAGAUAUUACACAGAACACCGAUUGCGAAGGCAGCUUGCUAGGCCGGAUCUGACACUGAUGCACGAAAGCGUGGGGAUCGAACAGGAUUAGAUACCCGGGUAAG
Molecule: ribosomal RNA, 468 nt
Filed under: uncultured bacterium
Lineage: Bacteria
Description: bacterial SSU rRNA
Rfam family: Bacterial small subunit ribosomal RNA
Source: RNAcentral